GCCAGACUCCUACGGGAGGCAGCAGUGGGGGAUAUUGCACAAUGGGGGGAACUCUGAUGCAGCGACGCCGCGUGGGUGAAGGAGCGUUUCGGCGCGUAAAGCCCUAUCGGCAGGGAAGAAGGAGGACGGUACCUGACUAAGAAGCCCCGGCUAACUACGUGCCAGCAGCCGCGGUAAUACGUAGGGGGCAAGCGUUAUCCGGAUUUACUGGGUGUAAAGGGGGCGCAGACGGCAGCGCAAGCCAGGAGUGAAAGCCCGGGGCCCAACCCCGGGACUGCUCUUGGAACUGCGCGGCUGGAGUGCAGGAGGGGCAGGCGGAAUUCCUGGUGUAGCGGUGAAAUGCGUAGAUAUCAGGAGGAACACCGGUGGCGAAGGCGGCCUGCUGGACUGCGACUGACGUUGAGGCCCGAAAGCGUGGGGAGCAAACAGGAUUAGAUACCCCAGUAAAC
Molecule: ribosomal RNA, 449 nt
Filed under: uncultured bacterium
Lineage: Bacteria
Description: bacterial SSU rRNA
Rfam family: Bacterial small subunit ribosomal RNA
Source: RNAcentral